This 965-nucleotide long non-coding RNA is filed under the name Mytilus galloprovincialis (Mediterranean mussel). Lineage: Eukaryota; Metazoa; Mollusca; Bivalvia; Mytilida; Mytilidae. The record is from RNAcentral.
GACCUAUCGAUCACAGAUCACGCGAUGGAGGCAAGUUAACAGGCGAAGCAGUUUGUAUAUAUAUUAAUUAUGUAGGUAUUAUGUAGGUAUACAUACUAACUUGGACGGUUGCGAAUUGAAGUACAUUAUAUUAGUUUAUUUAUUCAUGAAUAUGUGAUAUAUUAAAUGAAGGAUGCUUCAAGAGGAUAGAAGGGGUUAAAUCUUUUAUCACUGAUCAUGAUCAUGACGAAGUCCACAACAUGUGGUUUUAAGAUUAAAUAAUAUUGAGACUCAUGUUUUGCUGAAUAGAUAUAGCAUAUAACAUAUAUGCAAGAAUAAUAAGUAUCUGUACAAGCUUACUUCUUUCAAAAUUUUACCAUGUUUACCACCUGAAAGUGUCGAAAUAUUUAAGUAGAUCAAAAAAUCUUUUUUGAACAGGGCAUAUACAUCAAAAUUUGUAGUUUUAUAAUUUGAACUGUGGGUGCACUUGUGGAUAGAAAAUGUAAUGAGUGUCACCAAAAGAUUUAUAUCAUGAUAAUUGAUAUCACAUAUUUUAUAUCCUAUUAUAAGAUUUCUGUAGUUUAGUAUAUGAUGACCAAUUUUAACUUUAUUUAAUAGUAUUUUGAUCUUCUCCAAAAAAGUUUUAAAGUAUUGACAUUCUAGAAAAAAAUGUUUAUAAUCUUCUGUUACAUUACAUAAGUCACAUUUAAUGUCUUCUUUUAUCUUCCAUCGAAAAGGCAGUUGUUUACAAGGAAGGAUAUGAUGCAUCAAUUUCCAUUUAAAUAUUUAUACUCUGUUAUCUUUUAAACAGGUCGAGAACUCUAGAUUUCCUGACGUCAGAACUUGAUAAAUUUGCAUAGUAAUUUCAUAAAACACAAGGCCAUGGCAAGAUGGCCUCGAAAAACUGACCAAUCGACUCAAUGAACUACAAUGCACCGGGGGCUACUACGAGUUUACUACAACUCGAAAACACGUGGAAUUAGUGA